CGUAGGGCGCGAGCGUUGUCCGGAUUUAUUGGGCGUAAAGAGCUCGUAGGCGGCUCGUUGCGUCAACCGUGAAAACCCGGGGCUUAACUUCGGGCUUGCGGUUGAUACGGGCGGGCUGGAGUUCGGUAGGGGAGACUGGAAUUCCUGGUGUAGCGGUGAAAUGCGCAGAUAUCAGGAGGAACACCGGUGGCGAAGGCGGGUCUCUGGGCCGAUACUGACGCUGAGGAGCGAAAGCGUGGGGAGCGAACAGAAUUAGAUACCCUGGUAGUCCACGCUGUAAACGUUGGGCGCUAGGUGUGGGGGGCCUCUCCGGUUUCCUGCGCCGUAGCUAACGCAUUAAGCGCCCCGCCUGGGGAGUACGGCCGCAAGGCUA
RNAcentral lists this ribosomal RNA (373 nucleotides) under uncultured organism. Its description in RNAcentral is "bacterial SSU rRNA". It matches the Rfam family "Bacterial small subunit ribosomal RNA", at positions 526 to 896 of the family's 1533-position model. The record is from RNAcentral.